RNAcentral lists this ribosomal RNA (274 nucleotides) under uncultured bacterium. RNAcentral's name for it is "partial 16S ribosomal RNA". It matches the Rfam family "Archaeal small subunit ribosomal RNA", at positions 473 to 747 of the family's 1478-position model. The record is from RNAcentral.
AAACCAGCACCUCAAGUGGUCAGGAUGAUUAUUGGGCCUAAAGCAUCCGUAGCCUGCUCUGUAAGUUUUCGGUUAAAUCUGUACGCUUAACGUACAGGCUGCCGGAAAUACUGCAGAGCUAGGGAGUGGGAGAGGUAGACGGUACUCGGGAGGAAGUGGUAAAAUGCUUUGAUCUCUCGAUGACCACCUGUGGCGAAGGCGGUCUACCAGAACACGUCCGACGGUGAGGGAUGAAAGCUGGGGGAGCAAACCGGAUUAGAAACCCCAGUAGUCC